GUGCCAGCCGCCGCGGUAACACGGGGGGAACGAGCGUUGUUCGGAUUUACUGGGCGUAAAGGGUGCGUAGGCGGACUGGUAAGUCGGAUGUGAAAUCUCACGGCUCAACUGUGAGUUGCCAUUCGAAACUGCCGGCCUUGAGUACGGGAGAGGAAAGUGGAAUUCCUGGUGUAGCGGUGAAAUGCGUAGAUAUCAGGAGGAACACCGGUGGCGAAGGCGGCUUUCUGGACCGAUACUGACGCUGAGGCACGAAGGCCGGGGGAGCAAACAGGAUUAGAUACCCUGGUAGUCCCGGCGGUAAACGAUGGGCACUAGGUGUCAGGGGUAUCGACCCCCUUGGUGCCGCAGUUAACACAUUAAGUGCCCCGCCUGGGGAGUACGACCGCAAGGUUGAAACUCAAAGGAAUUGACGGGGGCCCGCACAAGCGGUGGAGUAUGUGGUUUAAUUCGACGCAACGCGAAGAACCUUACCUGGGCUUGACAUGCUGUGGACCGGGUUAGAGAUAACCCUUUUCCUUCGGGAACCGCAGUACAGGUGCUGCAUGGCUGUCGUCAGCUCGUGCCGUGAGGUGUUGGGUUAAGUCCCGCAACGAGCGCAACCCCUGUCCUCAGUUGCCAGCGGAUCAUGCCGGGAACUCUGGGGAGACUGCCUCGGUCAACGGGGAGGAAGGUGGGGAUGACGUCAAGUCCUCAUGGUCCUUACGUCCAGGGCUACACACGUACUACAAUGGCCGGUACAGCGGGUCGCAAUACCGCAAGGUGGAGCCAAUCCUCAAAACCGGCCUCAGUUCAGAUUGGAGUCUGCAACUCGACUCCAUGAAGGAGGAAUCGCUAGUAAUCGCGGAUCAGCACGCCGCGGUGAACACGUUCCCGGGCCUUGUACACACCGCCCGUCAAGCCAUGGAAGUUGGGAGUACCCAAAGUCAUCGUCCUAACCCUUCGGGGGUGGCGAUGCCCAAGGUAAACCCGAUGACUGGGGCUAAGUCGUAACAAGGUAACC
RNAcentral lists this ribosomal RNA (1000 nucleotides) under uncultured bacterium. RNAcentral describes it as "bacterial SSU rRNA". It matches the Rfam family "Bacterial small subunit ribosomal RNA", at positions 505 to 1501 of the family's 1533-position model. The record is from RNAcentral.